Molecule: ribosomal RNA, 532 nt
Filed under: uncultured bacterium
Lineage: Bacteria
Description: bacterial SSU rRNA
Rfam family: Bacterial small subunit ribosomal RNA
Source: RNAcentral
UGCCUCAUAGUGGGGGACAACUUGGGGAAACUCAAGCUAAUACCGCAUACGCCCUACGGGGGAAAGCGGGGGACCUUCGGGCCUCGCGCUAUGAGAUGAGCCUGCGUUAGAUUAGCUAGUUGGUGGGGUAAAAGCCUACCAAGGCGACGAUCUAUAGCUGGUCUGAGAGGACGAUCAGCCACACUGGGACUGAGACACGGCCCAGACUCCUACGGGAGGCAGCAGUGGGGAAUAUUGGACAAUGGGCGCAAGCCUGAUCCAGCAAUACCGCGUGUGUGAAGAAGGCCUGAGGGUUGUAAAGCACUUUCAAUUGGGAGGAAAACCUGUCGGCCAAUACCCGGCAGCUUGACAUUACCUUUAGAAGAAGCACCGGCUAACUCCGUGCCAGCAGCCGCGGUAAUACGGAGGGUGCGAGCGUUAAUCGGAAUUACUGGGCGUAAAGCGUGCGUAGGCGGUUAUUUAAGUCAGAUGUGAAAGCCCCGGGCUUAACCUGGGAACUGCAUUUGAUACUGGGUAACUAGAGUUUAGUAGA